This 1313-nucleotide long non-coding RNA is filed under the name Sus scrofa (pig). Its description in RNAcentral is "lncRNA (ENSSSCG00070021177.1)". Lineage: Eukaryota; Metazoa; Chordata; Mammalia; Artiodactyla; Suidae. The record is from RNAcentral.
AUGGAGGAGACAGGUUGGAGAGCCUUGCUUCUGGGCUCCUUGCUGGUUGACCGCACGGCAACGCUCUUCCUCUUACUAAAGUUGGUGCCGUGGGUUGGCUUCUGUGCGUGUCCGACGGGGAGCCUCUUCUCGGUGACAAAUCUGACCGUUUCUCAUGUGCCCAGUCGCCUGAGCAUCGGGCGUCUCAGCCAGUACGCACUCUACACGCCCCACUGGCCGCUCAGGAGGUCUGAGAUGUGUGUCCCGAGGGAUGACGGAACGCUGGUGCUAUUUUUCAUCAGGCUGUUGUGCAGGAUCCUUCCUCGUCCACUGGAUGCAAAGCACCUGCCUGGAUUGGGUGUAAAGGAUCCUGAGAGCGACAGCUUGUGACAUCCUCCUGAGUGAUGCUGAGGUGAUGCAGUCCCGUCAUCUUCAGCCUGCAAAGCCAUCUUGCCCAAGAAGCCUCAUUCCCGGGCAUCCGGCCAUACGAGAAAGGCUGCCGGGGUAGGUCUCAGUUGCAAAGAAAUGUUCCUUAAAACUCAGCUCUCAUCUCCAUGCCUCUCACUGUCUCCCAGUCUCCACAUACGCUUCUCCUUUUCUCUGUGUGUGUGGGUGUCUGUCUGUUUAGGGCCACAUCUGUGGCAUAUGGAGGUUUCCAGGCUAGGUGUUGAAUUGGAGCUGCAGCUUCCAGCCUACACCACAGUCACAGCAGAUCUGAGCCACAUCUGUGACCUACACCACAGGUCAUGGCAAUCUGGGAUCCUUAACCCACUGGGUGAGGCCAGGGAUCGAACCUGUAUCCUCAUGUAUGCUAGUCAGAUUCCACUGAGCCACGGUGGGAACUCAAUGUCCUAGUUUGCAUCUAUGAACCCCAAACUCCCCAUCCAUCCCACUCCCUCUCCGUCCCCACACCCUUGGCAACCACAAGUCUGGUCUCUGAGAGUCUGUUUCUGCUCUGUAAAUGGUUCAUUUGUGCCAUAUUUUAGAUUCCACAUAGAAGUGAUAUCAUACAGUAUUUGUCUUUCUCUUUUGGACUGACUUCACUUAGUGUGAGAAUAUCUAGUUGCAUCCACCUUGCUGCAAAUGGCAUUAUUUUCGUUUUAUGGCUGAGUAGUAUUCCAUUGUGUAUAUAUAUCACAACACCUUAAUCCAUUCCUCUGUCGAUGGACAUUUAGGUGGUUUCUGAGUCUUGGCUGUUGUGAUUCACCAUUUUUGAAGGUUCCACUGCAUUUACAGUUCUGAUAAAAUAUUGGCUCUGUCUCCUGUGCUGUACAACAUUAUAUAAGCUUCAGGUGUACAAUAAAUUGAUUCAUAAUGUUUAAAGAUUUUAUUCC